UCGCUUCUCAGCCAGUCGACCGAUUUCCUCGCUCGCUGUCACACACCUUGGGCUGUAAAGCGGCCGAACGUGCGUCUUUCUCUAUGCGUGCGGACAGCGGAAACGGGUUCAACGCCACACGGAGGAGGAAAGCAUGCGCACGAACGGAGCACAAGAAACAGCCAAAGUCUCUUCAAUUGAGACAGUGAGUGCAUAACGGGGGAAGUACUCGCCGGUGUUCUGACAGGGUGCAUCCCUGCCUUUGAAGGAGACAGCAUGGGCAGAACAGUCUUUAAAAUGUUUGUCUCAAAAAUACGAUAAUAACGAGAGGGAUUUUGGACAAGGAAGGAUCUGAGCUUUGCUUUAUAGCCUAGGACUAAGAUAAGUUGGUAGAAUGGAAAAGCCCGUCCAGCCUCAGCUGCAGUCGACCACAUCCAAGAGCUCAGAGGGUCUGUCGGAUGAUCUUUCCAAACUUACGGAUGAAGAUCUUCUGAAAUGGAGCAAGGAGGAGCUGGUGCGCCGGCUGCGCAGAACAGAAGCGGAGAAGAUGAGCGUCAUAGUGGACCACAGCAAUCUCAUCCGAGAGGUGAACCGCAGGCUUCAGCAGCACCUGAACGAGAUCCGGGGGCUGAAGGAGGUAAAUCAGAAGCUGCAGGAGGACAACCAGGAGCUGAGGGAUCUCUGCUGCUUUCUGGAUGACGAUCGUCAGAAAGGGAAAAAGGUGUCCAGGGAGUGGCAGCGCCUGGGGCGGUACAGCGCAGGGAUCAUGCGUAAGGAAGUCACAUUGUACCUGCAGAAGCUGAAAGAGCUGGAACAGCGUCAGGAGGAGGUGGUGAGAGAGAACCUGGAACUGAGAGAGUUGUGCCUAAUGCUGGAUGAGGAGAAGGGCUCUGGAGGUGCGGCCGGAUCAGUGGGCACCGGGGCUCCACCCGGCUGCAGGAAUUCAAUCGAUAGCCAGAGCAGCCUAUCUCAUGCCAGCGGUCCUGGGCCUGGGCUCCUGAGAGAUGUGGGUGAUGGGAGCAGUACCUCCAGCGCGGGCAGCACCGACAGCCCUGACCAUCUCACGCAUAAGCAGCAGCUGUUGGGCGGCCCCGCUGGAGGCAGUCCUGACCACCUUCAUAAGCCAGGCUCGGGGGAGGAGGCACCGCGUUCUGAGCACCCAGGGCGCAGACACAGCACUAGCCAGGAGUACACGGCUCAUACCUUUCCCCAGGUGUGCCGGUCUCGGUGUGGGUCCUUCUCCAGUCCAGACCACAAAGGCCUACGAGGGCUCAGUCCCGAGAAACAUGGCAAGAGCUUGCCCAGAUGCGUUCCAGAGCCGUUUUCGAAACAUCUGCUGGUGUCUUCUCAGCCACCCGGCAGUCCUGACCUUUUCCAGAAGCACAGGGGCAGUAUGGGAAGUGCGUGUAUGAGUCCGGAGCCCAAUCAGAUUUUAUCAGGGACACCAGAACACCUCCAGAAGGGCCGCAUCAUAUCUGGGAGCCCCGAGAUGUUGAGGCAUCAUUAUGGCGCCGGCCACGAGCACAGCAAGUUUGGCAGCCCUGCCCGUGAGAUGGCACAGAAGAGGCCGGGUGGAGAGGAGAUGUCCCCUCAUCAACGGAACAUCUAUAGCGGUAUGAACGGUGGUUCCGACUGGAGCCUGCUGUAGCACCCACAGUGACAUACACAGAGUUAAAUGAGCCAAAUGCAGAGGGGAUGGUCAUCCUUCAUCACGGAGGGGAUCAUUGCCAGCAAAGCCCAAUUCCCUGCCAGUCUCUAAACCAUCCAUUCAGCCAUGAUAUGCGUUUAGUUUAGUUUUUCGUUGCUCAGUUCAGGAGAGGCAAUGAGGGGAUAGAGCAGGGACUUUAGUGUCUGCUAGAGCAGAAUGCCAAGUCAUCUCUGGCAAAAGUCGGUGGUGUCCAGUCUUGGUACUCUUGGGUCAAUCAGCCUCUGUACCGGUGCCUCCUAAGCCAUUUUUAUGCUCUGGAACCCAGCUGAGGGAACUCAAUCAAAGACCAAAAUGCUCAGAGGCCCAACUAAUACAAGAAGACAGUGCUGCCCAGCAGGACCAGGAGUGGACACCAUUGUAUUUGCCAUAUGCACCCAGCUCUGAUAUCAGCUGGCUGUUGUACCAGCGCAUGCAGAAGUGUCAAACUUUGGGACAGUUUUAAUGCCUCCUGACCAUUGCCUUGAUUGAAUUCGUUGAUGGGAACCAGGCCAUGGAAGAUGGCCGCUGUGCUUUUGUAUCACUUGGACUGAAAAAAAGUUGGAAGAUGAAGACCGAAUCAAAGACAAAAUGUUUCAACAGCCAGCGUUUUCCGCCCCCACCAUGCCGGUUCCUGGUCUACCGAUCCAACUUACAGCCCUGCACAACAAAAGCCUGAAGGAGAGAUUUCUUAGGAGUCAAAGCGCUGGAAAUAACUGGAUUGCCAAAAGAAAUAUAUGUAACGAUUGCUCUUUUGCCAACAAAAUAGACCUACCUCCUUCAAACUAAAAGAGACCAAUCAGGACUGAGAGGCUAGUACCCAUUUUGUUUACAGUUGCCACAAAAACACAUGCAAACAAUCGAAAGAAACCUUUGCACACACAGGCAGACAAUUCUUAUCAGACUGGUCUCAUAAGACCGUAGGCUUUGUUCAGACAGGCAGCAAAAAUCUGUGACUCAAAUUCAUGUAGAUUUUUGUAGUUCAGCAAAAAGCACAGAUUAAUCUCACAUGUGAUUUGUUUUCUGACUGAAAUAUAAACUUUUUGGAUGAGUCUCAUUUUGAAUAGCUGCUCUUGUUGUAUGAGGAAGUCUCUUGAGAUUGUGCUGAUGCUUAAUUCGUUACCAUAGCAACCAUUGUAGAACGUCAGAUUUAAACCCAAAUGGGAUGCGGUGUGAACAAAGCCUAAUAACAAGGACAGUUUUUAUUAAGCUAUUUUGACUUAUCUCUUCAAAUGGAUAUCAUUAAAUUGAUAUCAGUCACUGCCUGAGUUUCAAUACGAAUUGUGUGAUGACCUUUUAUGUACUGCGUUGACUUAUGGCCAUGUGUAAAGUAUGGUAAUUUGACGUCAAGAUGUCUAUACUUAAAAUCUGCAUCCUGAUCUCUGGAUCCGGAGAGGCUCCCCUCCUGUCUCUGAAUGUCCUAUAAAUAAUCUUUCUGUAGACGCAGUGUUUGUGUUGUGUGAAAGAAGCACAUAGAAAUCUGCUGCUGCGUCCAGGACUUGUGUAGCCAGACGCUGUAGGCUUCCGUCGAGUCUUGCGUCUGUUUCUGCCCACACUGCUGCCCAAAUCAAGCGGCCCCAUCACAAAGCUUAAUGUAAGCUGCGCAAAUCCUGUCCGUUUCAAUGCUUUGUGAAAUUGCCAAACCCAUUUUUCUGUUCUCCAUUAAAACAAGAUUUUGUUCUCCAUCUGUUUGUGGAUUCAAUUUGAACGGUGGCCCAGUGGCUCUGUUCAGUGGAGACAGCAAGGCUCCUCACUGCACAUCCUCUGUUUGUGAACCAUAACUGAGAGGCAAUAUUGGACUUUUGUUCCAUAGGACUAUUUGUGCCGUCAUGCCUCUCUUCUUAGCAGGUAUUUCAUCAAACCUCUCCUGGGUGACUGCAAACCAUACACACUGUAGAGGUUUUGAGAGCAUAGCCUAUAUCCCUCACUCAACAUGACGUUGUUUUGGUCAGCCAACAUCACACUCAUCAAAACUGUUGUACACCGUCAGUAUUAAAUACAGCAAAGCUACUUGAUAAACUCAUUAACCUGUGAUCUUUUUUAUUUUUGUUGACAGAUUAUGAAACAGAACAGAUAUUAUUUAUUAUGAGACAUUUAUGUUUUUAAAAAGUAAAGAGUAGUUAAAGGCUUAGUUUUUUAUA
This is an RNA transcript of Triplophysa dalaica, 3804 nucleotides long. It is a transcript of the gene named coiled-coil domain containing 85A, with no coding region annotated. NCBI's taxonomy places the organism in Eukaryota, Metazoa, Chordata, Actinopteri, Cypriniformes, Nemacheilidae. The transcript is spliced from 4 exons. The record is from RefSeq and is a predicted model, not a curated record.